CCUACGGGUGGCUGCAGUGGGGAAUAUUGCGCAAUGGGCGAAAGCCUGACGCAGCGACGCCGCGUGAGGGAUGAAGGUCUUCGGAUCGUAAACCUCUGUCAGCAGGGAAGAACGGUCACUGUGCUAAUCAGCAGUGAAUUGACGGUACCUGCAAAGGAAGCACCGGCUAAACCCGUGCCAGCAGCCGCGGUAAUACGGAGGAUGCGAGCGUUAAUUGGAAUUACUGGGCGUAAAGCGCUCGUAGGCGGUAUGUCAAGUCAAGGGUGAAAUCCCCGCGCUCAACGUGGGAACUGCCGUUGAAACUGGCAAACUGGAGUGUGUGAGAGGAUAGUGGAAUUCCAGGUGUAGGAGUGAAAUGCGUAGAGAUCUGGAGGAACAGCAGUGGCGAAGGCGACUAUCUGGCACAUAACUGACGCUGAGGAGCGAAAGCGUGGGUAGCAAACAGGAUUAGAUACCCCAGUAGUC
Molecule: ribosomal RNA, 465 nt
Filed under: uncultured bacterium
Lineage: Bacteria
Description: partial 16S ribosomal RNA
Rfam family: Bacterial small subunit ribosomal RNA
Source: RNAcentral